CCCUUAGAUGAUUUGGGCUGCACGCGCGCUACACUGACCCUAACAAUGAGCAACUGUCUGGCCUGAGAUGGCUGGGUAGCCUUUUCAACCCAUGUCAUGAUUGGGCUAGAUUUUUGUAAGUCUUGAUCUCUAACGAGGAAUCCCUAGUAUGCGUGAAUCAUCAAUCCAUGCAGAUUAUGUCCCUGCCCUUUGUACACACCGCCCGUCGCUACUACUGAUUGGGUGUUCAAGUGAGAUGCUUAGACCCUUGUUGCAUGGUUCAUUAUUGUGCUCCGAAAGGAAAAAGUUUCAAGCUUGAGUGUCUAGAGGAAGUAAAAGUCGUAACA
This 326-nucleotide ribosomal RNA is filed under the name uncultured eukaryote. RNAcentral describes it as "partial 18S ribosomal RNA". It matches the Rfam family "Eukaryotic small subunit ribosomal RNA", at positions 1470 to 1796 of the family's 1831-position model. The record is from RNAcentral.